RNAcentral lists this ribosomal RNA (253 nucleotides) under uncultured bacterium. RNAcentral describes it as "partial 16S ribosomal RNA". It matches the Rfam family "Bacterial small subunit ribosomal RNA", at positions 524 to 776 of the family's 1533-position model. The record is from RNAcentral.
UACGGAGGGUGCGAGCGUUAAUCGGAAUCACUGGGCUUAAAGCGUGUGUAGGUGGAUGCCUAAGUACCUUGUGAAAUCCCACAGCUUAACUGUGGAACUGCUUGGUAUACUGGGUGUCUUGAGUCACUCAGGGGCGAGCGGAACAAAUGGUGGAGCGGUGAAAUGCGUAGAUAUCAUUUGGAACGCCAAUGGUGAAAACAGCUCGCUGGGGGUGUACUGACACUGAGACACGAAAGCCAGGGGAGCGAACGGG